Molecule: ribosomal RNA, 447 nt
Filed under: uncultured bacterium
Lineage: Bacteria
Description: bacterial SSU rRNA
Rfam family: Bacterial small subunit ribosomal RNA
Source: RNAcentral
UCGAGGAUCAUUCGCAAUGGACGGAAGUCUGACGAUGCGACGCUGCGUGAAGGAUGAAGGUCUUCGGAUUGUAAACUUCUGUCAUGAGGGAAAAGGCAAUCGCCGUGAAUAUCGGCGUGCGUUGAUGGUACCUCAAGAGGAAGCCACGGCUAACUCUGUGCCAGCAGCCGCGGUAAUACAGAGGUGGCAAGCGUUGUUCGGAUUUACUGGGCGUAAAGGGCGCGUAGGCGGUCAGGUGUGUCGGAUGUGAAAGCUCUGGGCUUAACCCAGAAAGUGCGUUCGAAACUGCUUGGCUAGAGUACGGAAGGGGGAUGCGGAAUGCAGGGUGUAGCGGUGAAAUGCGUUGAUAUCCUGCAGAACACCGGUGGCGAAGGCGGCAUCCUGGGACGUUACUGACGCUGAGGCGCGAAAGCAGGGGGAGCAAACAGGAUUAGAUACCCUGGUAGU